Molecule: long non-coding RNA, 1039 nt
Organism: Cynara cardunculus var. scolymus (artichoke)
Lineage: Eukaryota; Viridiplantae; Streptophyta; Magnoliopsida; Asterales; Asteraceae
Exons: 2
Source: RefSeq, a predicted model, not a curated record
UCUCAUUAACGUUAGGGUUCCGUUGAAAUCGUUGAUGUUAGGGGUUCCGCCCUCAACGUGUCUAUGUUCAAAACUUCUGCUUAACCUUACCCCUAUGAUGAGAUUUCGAAACAUCAGCAUAUGGAGCUUCUCUCACGAAUCGGAGGAUUAUGAACCCUAAUUUCUAGCAAAUUAGUCUUCAACAUAUGCAUAUGUAGAUAAUACAUAUAUGAUUCUGAUCUAGGCAGCGCUUGAUGGGGGUCAUUCACAUAUGAAUGAAUGAAUAUUUAUUGUUCAUUGAUCACAUGGAAUACCAGCAGAUAGUGAAAAUAGAGCCCAGGUUGGAUUUGGAAGUGUCUGCGACACUCAAUUAACCACUACCACAGGAACUUGAAUCAGUCCAGCUAUGUAAAUCACUCUAUCAUUUCAGGCCUCUUGCAUGUGAAAGGUUUGUUCUUAGCAACACUACCAAAAAGUUAACAUAUUUUCUGUAUUAUCAACUACUGCAUUUGCUCUUCUUUUUUGUAACGGUUGUACACACCUUUAAUGCAACUAAUUCACGGGGUCAAUCCCCUGCAAUAGUCAACGAUCAUAUAGUCAUAAUUGGUCAAGAUAGGCUCAUUAUUGGAGGAUAGCCCACAAAUGCCAAACGCUAGUCGGGUUUAUGUGCUAAAACUGACUGGCAGAAGAAGGCUAAAUUCUUCACCGUUCGUACCCAAGUGUUGGUAAUAAUAGCUUUAUAAGUAUUAAAAGGAGGACUGGAAACAUGUAUGCUCCUUGCAUAAUCAAGAAUACCCGGUGAACAUAUUCUUAACAUGUGUAUGCUGCUUGGGUGUGAUUCACAUUUCCAUAUUCACUGUGCACAUUCUACCCAUGACUCUACCUCCGCGUGGGAUAUAUUGGGCUUGUUUGUUUCUUUAUAUUUUAUAGUCACUGUAUCAGAACUUCACGAUCCAAGGCUUGGUCGUGAGGCUUAAAUCAGUGAUAUAACAACCUUAGAGUUUCCAAAAAAUCUUAAAAGCAAAAGUUGGCUUGGAAGAUGGGGAUCACUCAAACAAUA